Non-coding RNA from Acanthosepion pharaonis, 110 nucleotides. NCBI's taxonomy places the organism in Eukaryota, Metazoa, Mollusca, Cephalopoda, Sepiida, Sepiidae. The record is from the annotation of a GenBank genome assembly.
UUACGGCCAUAUCACGUUGAAACACCGGUUCUUGUAAGAUCACAGAAGUUAAGUAACGUCGAGCCUGGUCAGUAACAAGAUGGGUGACCUACUUGCGAACACCGGAUGCU